CCCUUAGAUGUCCUGGGCCGAACGCGCGUUACACUGAUGCAUUCAACGAGCUUAUAACCUUGGCCGAGAGGCCUGGGCAAUCUUGUUAACGUGCAUCGUGAUAGGGAUAGAUUAUUGAAAUUAUUAAUCUUGAACGAGGAAUUCCUAGUAAACGCAGAUCAUCAAUCUGCAUUGAUUACGUCCCUGCCCUUUGUACACACCGCCCGUCGCACCUACCGAUUGGAUGGUCCGGUGAAGCCUCGGGAUUGUGGUUCUUGCCGCUUUAUUGUGGCGUGACCGCGAGAACUUGUCUAAACCUUAUCAUCUAGAGGAAGGUGAAGUCGUAACA
RNAcentral lists this ribosomal RNA (328 nucleotides) under uncultured eukaryote. RNAcentral describes it as "partial 18S ribosomal RNA". It matches the Rfam family "Eukaryotic small subunit ribosomal RNA", at positions 1470 to 1796 of the family's 1831-position model. The record is from RNAcentral.